AUUGAACGCUGGCGGAAUGCUUUACACAUGCAAGUCGAACGGCAGCACGGGGGCAACCCUGGUGGCGAGUGGCGAACGGGUGAGUAAUACAUCGGAACGUGCCCAGUCGUGGGGGAUAACGUAGCGAAAGUUACGCUAAUACCGCAUACGAUCUACGGAUGAAAGCGGGGGACUGUAAGGCCUCGCGCGAUUGGAGCGGCCGAUGUCAGAUUAGGUAGUUGGUGAGGUAAAGGCUCACCAAGCCGACGAUCUGGAGCUGGUCUGAGAGGACGACCAGCCACACUGGGACGGAGGCACGGCCCAGACUCCGACGGGAGGCAGCAGUGGGGAAGUUUGGACAAUGGGCGCAAGCCUGAUCCAGCCAUUCCGCGUGCAGGACGAAGGCCUUCGGGUUGUAAACUGCUUUUGUACGGAACGAAAAGGCUCUGGUUAAUACCUGGGGCUCAUGACGGUACCGUAAGAAUAAGCACCGGCUAACUACGUGCCAGCCGCCGCAGUAA
Molecule: ribosomal RNA, 500 nt
Filed under: uncultured bacterium
Lineage: Bacteria
Description: partial 16S ribosomal RNA
Rfam family: Bacterial small subunit ribosomal RNA
Source: RNAcentral